UGGGUCUAAUUGUCUAUUUUCGAAUGCAGGU
RNAcentral lists this non-coding RNA (31 nucleotides) under Mus musculus (house mouse). Lineage: Eukaryota; Metazoa; Chordata; Mammalia; Rodentia; Muridae. The record is from RNAcentral.